This is a long non-coding RNA of Bos taurus (domestic cattle), 1011 nucleotides long. The record is from Ensembl. NCBI's taxonomy places the organism in Eukaryota, Metazoa, Chordata, Mammalia, Artiodactyla, Bovidae.
CACUGCAAGUGAUUUUAUUAAAAUAUUUCACAAGCGCCAAAUGUGAGGGGAGGAGGAAGGUGGAGGCAUAGACUUGAUUCCAGAGAGAGGUGGCAUCGCUGCAGGAAAGGGUGGCAUGGGCCAGGAAGGUGCAACGCUAAGAAGUCAGCGACACCACCGUUUUGCCGAAGUCUUGACUUGUCUCUACAUUUAGCAAGGCCUUCUCCCCAGUGAGGAAAGUCGGGCCCAGCGGCCUUAAGUUCACGAUGUGUGAUCCAAAUGAAUGAAGCGCCAUGAUUCAGAUUUGCCUAAUAACAGAUGGUGUGCAGCAAAUUCCCUGCAAACGAACCUUCAAGCUGCAGACUUUCAAAGAUGUGGACGUGGAUCCGCAUGUCCGACCACGUAAGCUGGUCCGUGUGUCUGGUGUACACGUCACACGCAUGCCCUCUACCUGUGGCUGUGCUUGUGUAUACUUGCUGUACAGUGCUGUUCAAAGGACAGAAGUGCCGUGUCCUCACUUCAAGCCCAGGAUGUCCGGAAGCAAGCAGAAAAGCAGCGGUGAUACGACCCGUACUGCCGAGAAGUGCCGGGAACUGAGCCCCAGAGAAGGGACAAAGAGGAAGAAGUAACAAAGACCCGAAGAGACUCAGCAGGAAAAGGCCGGGGCGGUUUCUUUACGUGAAGAGGCACUGUUAGAUCUGGGGACCCAGGCCCCGAAUGUACACUGGUACACAAAGUCUGCAGCGGGCAUUCAGGAUGCAGCCCAGGGCUACCACGGCAUCUGAGAUGAGAACAAAAGGAGCCAGUGCCCAUCAGGAUGCAGCCCAGUGCUACCACGGCAUCCGAGAUGAGAACAAAAGGAGCCAGUGCCCAUCAGGAUGUAGCCCAGGGCUACCACGGCAUCUGAGAUGAGAACAAAAGGAGCCAAUGCCCAUCAGGAUGCAGCCCAGGGCUACCACGGCAUCUGAGAUGAGAACAAAAGGAGCCAGUGCCCAGACAUCACCUGAUCCUGGUUUCAAGAGGGUAGAUGAU